UUAACUUAUUUUUGUUUUACUCAGAGAGGCCUAAAAUAUAAGAGUUUUUGGGCUGUCGGCGCUAAGCGGAACUGCCCAGCAACAGCUCCAGAGAGUACUGAGGUUAGGAGUUCCCACGCCGAAGCAACUGUAGGUAGGUUCACAAUGGUGGGAGUUUUGCAACUCUGUAAUGAUCCCUCCGCUGGUUCACCAACGGAGA
Molecule: unclassified non-coding RNA, 199 nt
Filed under: uncultured fungus
Lineage: Eukaryota; Fungi
Description: sequence contains ITS1
Source: RNAcentral